RNAcentral lists this unclassified non-coding RNA (392 nucleotides) under soil metagenome. RNAcentral describes it as "partial contains 5.8S ribosomal RNA, internal transcribed spacer 2, and large subunit ribosomal RNA". The stretch from base 1 to 122 matches the Rfam family "5.8S ribosomal RNA", at positions 35 to 154 of the family's 154-position model. The record is from RNAcentral.
GUUGAAGAACGUAGCGAAAUGCGAUACUUGGUGUGAAUUGCAGAAUCCCGUGAACCAUCGAGUCUUUGAACGCAAGUUGCGCCCGAAGCCAUCAGGUUGAGGGCACGUCUGCCUGGGCGUCACAUAUCGUUGCUCGAUGCCUAUCGCAUUGCGAUAGGACUUAGGGCGAAUGAUGGCUUCCCGUGAGCGUUGUUGCCUCGCGGUUGGUUGAAAAUCGAGUCCUUGGUAGGGUGUGCCAUGAUAGAUGGUGGUCGAGUUAGCACGAGACGGAUCAUGUGCAUGCUUCCCAAAAUAUGGCCUCUGUGACCCACACGCGUCUUUUGACGCUCAUGAUGAGACCUCAGGUCAGGCGGGGCUACCCGCUGAAUUUAAGCAUAUCAAUAAGCGGAGGA